UUUCUGCAAAUUCUGAAAAUGGAUAGAAUUUCUUCCCGUAAAAUUCAUGAUAAAAUAAAAAAAAAUUAUCUAUCAAUCCCUAAGUUAACUCGAAAUUAUUUUUAAGAUCCUCAAAUUUUUAGUUAGACUAAAACAUCUUUGGACUGCUAAUAAUUUUUUAUUGGAUCCCCACCGUUUAGUGUUGCCAUAUGCUACUGUUUAAGCCUAUUCAAAUGAUCGAAAUGACCU
RNAcentral lists this long non-coding RNA (228 nucleotides) under Elaeis guineensis (African oil palm). Its description in RNAcentral is "long non-coding RNA (EGUI_LNC054589)". Lineage: Eukaryota; Viridiplantae; Streptophyta; Magnoliopsida; Arecales; Arecaceae. The record is from RNAcentral.